This 67-nucleotide small RNA is filed under the name Domibacillus iocasae. Its description in RNAcentral is "Bacillaceae-1 RNA". It matches the Rfam family "Bacillaceae-1 RNA". Lineage: Bacteria; Bacillati; Bacillota; Bacilli; Caryophanales; Bacillaceae. The record is from Rfam by way of RNAcentral.
ACAAUAAGAUCGAAGGCUAAGAACGCAGCGUCCUGCUGCAACGCCUUUAUGACCCGCAUCGUGCGGG